AGCGAACGCUGGCGGCAGGCUUAACACAUGCAAGUCGAGCGCUCGUAGCAAUACGGGAGCGGCAGACGGGUGAGUAACACGUGGGAACGUACCUUUUGGUUCGGAACAACACAGGGAAACUUGUGCUAAUACCGGAUAAGCCCUUACGGGGAAAGAUUUAUCGCCAAAAGAUCGGCCCGCGUCUGAUUAGCUUGUUGGUGAGGUAACGGCUCACCAAGGCGACGAUCAGUAGCUGGUCNGAGAGGAUGAUCAGCCACAUUGGGACUGAGACACGGCCCAAACUCCUACGGGAGGCAGCAGUGGGGAAUAUUGGACAAUGGGCGCAAGCCUG
Molecule: ribosomal RNA, 331 nt
Filed under: uncultured bacterium
Lineage: Bacteria
Description: bacterial SSU rRNA
Rfam family: Bacterial small subunit ribosomal RNA
Source: RNAcentral